Molecule: non-coding RNA, 1004 nt
Filed under: Cryptosporidium parvum
Lineage: Eukaryota; Apicomplexa; Conoidasida; Eucoccidiorida; Cryptosporidiidae
Source: RNAcentral
CCCAUCCAACAUGCAUUGAGGUUACUGGGCUUUGAAUAUACUCUUCUUCUCCAUCUAAAACAGUUGCAAUGCUUUCAGUCUUAAUGUCAAAUUUGCAAACUUUGUUAUCCCUAUUUAAUUGAUUUGCUGUGUGAUGUAUGACCUUUUCCUUACAAUUUUUCUUCAAUAUUGGACCUACUUUUUUGCUAAUAGAUUUGAUGGGUGACUUCUUGGAUUUGCUAGGGCUGAUGCUUUUGUUAGAGGCACUUCUGACAGCUCGUAUCGGCGUCUUUUUUUGCUCUUUUUCAGAGUCCAUAGCUUUCUUGGUAUUACUUAAUGUUCUGGUCUUAAUUUUAGGGCUUUUUGGCAACCCAGUUCUUGGAUGAAGAGGAUAUAGUAUUGCCUCGUCAAAUGCCCAGUCUUUCCUAGGAGAAGGAGAUCUCUUGAAUGUUGCUCUUGUAGAAACUCCUCUAAGGCAUCUUGUUGGAUGAAGGUGAUGAGUUGGUGAACCAGAAUGGUGAUUAUACUUUUUCAAAGCAGGAGAUUGUGAAGCUAUUGGCUUAGCAGAACAACUGUUCAUCUUUACAUUUUUUUUCGAUUUGGGAUUUGAUAAAAAUGGGUUAGAUGAUCUAGCUCUCACUUUUGUAACAGGAGAUCCAAUUCUUGGAUGUGGAGGAUAGAGUAUUGCUUCAUCAAAUGGCCAAUCUUUCCUGGGAGAAGGAGAUCUCUUGAAUGUUGCUCUUGUAGAAACUCCUCUAAGGCAUCUUGUUGGGUGAGGGCUUCCACUAUGAUGCUUAAUUUCAGAAUUAACCCGUGUUUUUGACCUUCCUCUUGAAACUUGCAGCUUCUUUUUAUUUGUGCCUGUAGAUUUGACCUUUGUUGGGUUCUUAGGAGAAAGUUUCACGCUUUUUCUUGCAACUACAGCCAUUGUAAAAGGUAACUAAUAGAUUGGUAAGAGGAUAAUAAACUUGAAUACUUUUCUUCACAAAAAGAACUAAAAUCUAGAAGCUAUAAGUUAAAUAAUG